Molecule: ribosomal RNA, 254 nt
Filed under: uncultured bacterium
Lineage: Bacteria
Description: partial 16S ribosomal RNA
Rfam family: Bacterial small subunit ribosomal RNA
Source: RNAcentral
UACGUAGGCAGCAAGCGUUGUUCGGAGUUACUGGGCGUAAAGGGUGUGUAGGCGGUUCUUUAAGUUUGGUGUGAAAUCUCCCGGCUCAACCGGGAGGGUGCGCCGAAUACUGAGGGACUUGGAGUGCGGGAGAGGAAAGUGGAAUUCCUGGUGUAGCGGUGAAAUGCGUAGAUAUCAGGAGGAACACCGGUGGUGUAGACGGCUUUCUGGACCGUAACUGACGCUGAGACGCGAAAGCGUGGGGAGCGAACAGG